Non-coding RNA from Tolypothrix bouteillei VB521301, 61 nucleotides. The record is from Rfam. NCBI's taxonomy places the organism in Bacteria, Bacillati, Cyanobacteriota, Cyanophyceae, Nostocales, Tolypothrichaceae.
AGAGUAAGCUGAAAGUACCCUCCGAUUGCUUAACCAGACCGCCCUAAUCUAGUGGCGGUUU